Molecule: ribosomal RNA, 1508 nt
Filed under: Helicobacter pylori P12
Lineage: Bacteria; Pseudomonadati; Campylobacterota; Epsilonproteobacteria; Campylobacterales; Helicobacteraceae
Description: 16S ribosomal RNA
Rfam family: Bacterial small subunit ribosomal RNA
Source: RNAcentral
CUUUUAUGGAGAGUUUGAUCCUGGCUCAGAGUGAACGCUGGCGGCGUGCCUAAUACAUGCAAGUCGAACGAUGAAGCUUCUAGCUUGCUAGAAUGCUGAUUAGUGGCGCACGGGUGAGUAACGCAUAGGUUAUGUGCCUCUUAGUUUGGGAUAGCCAUUGGAAACGAUGAUUAAUACCAGAUACUCCCUACGGGGGAAAGAUUUAUCGCUAAGAGAUCAGCCUAUGUCCUAUCAGCUUGUUGGUAAGGUAAUGGCUUACCAAGGCUAUGACGGGUAUCCGGCCUGAGAGGGUGAACGGACACACUGGAACUGAGACACGGUCCAGACUCCUACGGGAGGCAGCAGUAGGGAAUAUUGCUCAAUGGGGGAAACCCUGAAGCAGCAACGCCGCGUGGAGGAUGAAGGUUUUAGGAUUGUAAACUCCUUUUGUUAGAGAAGAUAAUGACGGUAUCUAACGAAUAAGCACCGGCUAACUCCGUGCCAGCAGCCGCGGUAAUACGGAGGGUGCAAGCGUUACUCGGAAUCACUGGGCGUAAAGAGCGUGUAGGCGGGAUAGUCAGUCAGGUGUGAAAUCCUAUGGCUUAACCAUAGAACUGCAUUUGAAACUACUAUUCUAGAGUGUGGGAGAGGUAGGUGGAAUUCUUGGUGUAGGGGUAAAAUCCGUAGAGAUCAAGAGGAAUACUCAUUGCGAAGGCGACCUGCUGGAACAUUACUGACGCUGAUUGCGCGAAAGCGUGGGGAGCAAACAGGAUUAGAUACCCUGGUAGUCCACGCCCUAAACGAUGGAUGCUAGUUGUUGGAGGGCUUAGUCUCUCCAGUAAUGCAGCUAACGCAUUAAGCAUCCCGCCUGGGGAGUACGGUCGCAAGAUUAAAACUCAAAGGAAUAGACGGGGACCCGCACAAGCGGUGGAGCAUGUGGUUUAAUUCGAAGAUACACGAAGAACCUUACCUAGGCUUGACAUUGAGAGAAUCCGCUAGAAAUAGUGGAGUGUCUAGCUUGCUAGACCUUGAAAACAGGUGCUGCACGGCUGUCGUCAGCUCGUGUCGUGAGAUGUUGGGUUAAGUCCCGCAACGAGCGCAACCCCCUUUCUUAGUUGCUAACAGGUCAUGCUGAGAACUCUAAGGAUACUGCCUCCGUAAGGAGGAGGAAGGUGGGGACGACGUCAAGUCAUCAUGGCCCUUACGCCUAGGGCUACACACGUGCUACAAUGGGGUGCACAAAGAGAAGCAAUACUGCGAAGUGGAGCCAAUCUUCAAAACGCCUCUCAGUUCGGAUUGUAGGCUGCAACUCGCCUGCAUGAAGCUGGAAUCGCUAGUAAUCGCAAAUCAGCCAUGUUGCGGUGAAUACGUUCCCGGGUCUUGUACUCACCGCCCGUCACACCAUGGGAGUUGUGUUUGCCUUAAGUCAGGAUGCUAAAUUGGCUACUGCCCACGGCACACACAGCGACUGGGGUGAAGUCGUAACAAGGUAACCGUAGGUGAACCUGCGGUUGGAUCACCUCCUUUCU